Molecule: RNA transcript, 1746 nt
Organism: Sapajus apella (tufted capuchin)
Lineage: Eukaryota; Metazoa; Chordata; Mammalia; Primates; Cebidae
Exons: 1
Source: RefSeq, a predicted model, not a curated record
GCUGUGGUCCCUGGAGGCAAAAGGCAGCUCACCGGGCCUUCCGUUUCCAGCCAGGCCUCACGUGGGGCAAGGCCAAGAGGAAAGUACAGAGUGCCCUUGCGGAAAAAGUCCCACUGGGAUGCACCUCUUCCCUGAGAAGCCCACCUUCUCCCUCGUGGACAGAGGUCACCAGCUGGUCCCCGUGGUUACAGCCAGUGCCUGGAAUUCCUCCUUAGGGCUCUGGGAAGAGUAUUGCUCAAUGCAGGAUGUGCUGGGUGUUUCAUUUGGGGUUUUUAACUUAUUUAUGGCUUGGUGUCUUUCCUGUUUGAUGUUUGGCUUUUGUUUUGUCUCUCCCAAGCAGUGGAGGCCUGAGAGCCUGAGGGAGGCUGGGGAAAACCAGCAGGGAGCACUUGACUCCUGGCAGAGGGAGAGGACAGGAGGAGGAGCCUUCCCAUGAGGAGCAAGGAGAGGUGGGCACAUGGCAGGCCACAGUGCCCUACGGGCUUUUCUGUUUGAACCCCAUGUGGGAUGAAUCUCAAAGCCAACAGUGUUCUUGCCUCAUGUCCAGAAGCAGUGGAGAUUCGCAGCCCUCGCCUCUCCCUGAGACGAAGCUGGAUUUGAAAAUCCCUCCCACACUCUAAUAUGUUUCCUGGGUGGGCAGGGGCUCAGGACCAAGCAGCAAGUGUACCCAGAGCAGAAGCCCGUCCCGACUCCCACCGCAAACCCAGGAGCAGAACUCAGUAUCCAGAGCUUACAGGGGCUGCAAGGGUUUGCUGAAGGCUGCCCAGCUCUGUUUCUGGUUUCCUGGACAACUUCUGUGUCAGAUUAUGCCCGUUGUAAACCCAGAGGGCUACAUUUUGGGUUGAAUACGGACACUGGGGAAGCACAGGAUCUGAGUCCAGCAUUGCCAUGGAGGAGGGAAGAGUGUGUCCUGGCAGGAAGCCACCAUCUGAGAAGGCAAGGCUGGUAUCCGUCCCAUGGGAUUCACUAUAAUCAGCCCGUUAGAGCUGCUGGGUCUCUGUCACUGUAGACUCCAGUCAUUUAAGGAGGUCUCCACUCUAGGGUUUUUUUUUUUCUUUUGCUAUUUUGCCUGAACAUCCCAAUCCUCUUGGUUUUAGAAUCCAAGAGUAAGCUGUGCAGAGAUAUGGUUCUAAUUUAGACUUCAAAGGAACACCAGCUCUGAAAACGUGACCGUGGGGCCAGGAUGUUUCUGGCAGGCCCAGAAGUGCUGGCCGUUCUUCCCCAGCCUCCCGCCUGCUCCCUCCUCUGUUCCCCACGUGGAGGAGGGGGGUGCUGGGACUGGGGAGGGGCAGCCACCUCCAUCUGAGGCUCUUCCUUAGGGCCCUGCUAGUGUGGACGGCAGACUUUAUCCCUCCUUCUUACUCUGGGCCAAAGCCUCCCAUGCUGCUCUCUGAGGAUGGUACCAAGAAUGGGCCUUUGGGACUUCUCAGGACGUUGACACGUGCACACUGCAAGUUGACUUUAUUUAUUUAUUUUGUGAAAAGAAGAGACAGAAGAUACCUUUUUAUCUGCAGGGACUCAAAGCUGUACCCAAAUCAAGAAAGACAAAAUAAUAAUAGAAACCAUUCACACACUCCGUUCACGCAAGGACACCAGAAGACGAUUCAGAACACAAGAGAAUAAGCCCGAGCUGCAGCACCACAAUGGCCCCUGGACAUUGUUUAAGAUCUGAGAUCAUGGCCCGACGCCGUGGUUCACGGUGGCGGAUUGCCUGAGCUCAGGAGUUUGAGACCAGCCUGGGUAACA